ACGGCUCAUCUCUAGACGUGGUUAGCGAGAUUGCCUCGUAUUGUAGUUCAGGGAACAACAAUUGCCGCGUCCGCCUCCACGUGUAGGCAGGAUAUCCGGGUGCGAUCAAUAGGUGCUCUAGGAUAACCGAGUCAAACUGUAUGCAAAUGUUCUCCAUAAAAACUGAAUAUUCACAUCAGCGAAUAUCCUCCGCAAGAGAACGCUCAAGUGCAAUUAUACCACAUAAGUAAAAAGAAAAUAAGUGUGGCUUGUGGGUUUGUGGGUAGAGACGAAACAUUAGGGGCGCAGAACCAAGAAGUGAGUACAAAGAGAGAGCGAAGGACGCGAGGAGGAGAACUAAGAGAAGGAGGAAGGAGUGACGGACACCAGAGAGGUUUUUGCGUGAUAGCUCUUCGUCCAUCGCCUGUCUGGGAGGAGCAAGAAAUAAGGUGGUGAUGACUGAUGUUUAGGAUCUGUUUGCCUGUCUUCUGUCUGCGAGGAACUUGGAGAUAACGCAGUGCUGUCUGAUGGUACUAGUGGUGGGCGGUAAUCCCAGAGCCUGACAGAUGACUAGCGGUGAAGCGUGUCCUAUUUACGUGACCACAGGUAUGAGGGGAGCACCUUCGCCCCUCCGUCAGAAAAGUGCGGACGCUCAUGAAGUGUCGUGAGUCAUGGACAAGAGGACUGAAAAAGACAUGCUUCUCCUCGGAAAGAAUGUUGGGUGAUAGGACGUGGUGACAUAUAGUGAUGAGAGUGAUGCCAUUGCUACCAAGAAUGUGGAGAACAACAUCAACAUCAACAAUAACAACAGCAACAACAACAAGAACAAUAACGACAACAACAUUAACAGCAAGAGCAAUAUAAUGAUGAUGGUGAUGAUUAUGAUG
This 866-nucleotide long non-coding RNA is filed under the name Portunus trituberculatus (swimming crab). RNAcentral's name for it is "uncharacterized LOC123499079, transcript variant X3". Lineage: Eukaryota; Metazoa; Arthropoda; Malacostraca; Decapoda; Portunidae. The record is from RNAcentral.